GGGGGGGGGGGGGGGGGGGGGGGGGGGGGGGGGGGGGGGGGGGGGGGGGCGGGGGGGGGGGGGGGCGCGGGGGGCGGGGGGGUGAGUGACACGGGGGUGACGUGCGCUGGCCUUUGGGGUGAGUUCGGGACGCUGGGGCUAAUACCGGGUAGGCGCGCCGGCGGCGUGGUGGGGGGUGGAACGUUUCGGCGGUUGGGGAGGGCGUCGCGUCUUCUCGCCUUGUUGGUGGGUGAGUGGCUUCCCAAGGCUUUGGCGGGUAGCCGGCCUGAGAGGGUGACCGGCCACAGUGGGACUGGGAUACGCCCCAGACUCAUACGGGAGGCAGCAGUGGGGAUUAUGGCACAAUGGGCGGAAGCCUGAUGCAGCAACGCCGCGGGCGGGAUGACGGCCUUCGGGUUGUAAACCGCUUUCGCCUGUGACGAAGCGUGAGUGACGGUAAUGGGUAAAGAAGCACCGGCUAACUACGUG
This 468-nucleotide ribosomal RNA is filed under the name uncultured bacterium. RNAcentral's name for it is "partial 16S ribosomal RNA". The stretch from base 58 to 468 matches the Rfam family "Bacterial small subunit ribosomal RNA", at positions 39 to 507 of the family's 1533-position model. The record is from RNAcentral.